UUUCAUGUGAACUUGAAUUGUUCUCUGAGG
This 30-nucleotide non-coding RNA is filed under the name Rattus norvegicus (Norway rat). The record is from RNAcentral. Lineage: Eukaryota; Metazoa; Chordata; Mammalia; Rodentia; Muridae.